ACGCACGCUGGCGGCGUGCUUAACACAUGCAAGUCGAACGGUGAAGCGCCUUCCUUUUUGGUGGGUGUGGAUGAGUGGCGAACGGGUGAGUAACACGUGAGUAACCUGCCCCCUUCUUCUGGAUAACCGCAUGAAAGUGUGGCUAAUACGGGAUAUUCUGGGUCUGUCGCAUGAUGGGUCUGGGAAAGAUAUUGUUUCGGUGGGGGAUGGGCUCGCGGCCUAUCAGCUUGUUGGUGGGGUGAUGGCCUACCAAGGCGGUGACGGGUAGCCGGCCUGAGAGGGUGGACGGUCACACUGGGACUGAGACACGGCCCAGACUCCUACGAGAGGCAGCAGUGGGGAAUAUUGCACAAUGGGCGCAAGCCUGAUGCAGCGACGCCGCGUGAGGGAUGGAGGCCUUCGGGUUGUGAACCUCUUUCGCCAGUGAAGCAGGCCUGCCUCGUUUGUGGGUGGGUUGACGGUAGCUGGAUAAGAAGCGCCGGCUAACUACGUG
This 493-nucleotide ribosomal RNA is filed under the name uncultured bacterium. Its description in RNAcentral is "partial 16S ribosomal RNA". It matches the Rfam family "Bacterial small subunit ribosomal RNA", at positions 29 to 507 of the family's 1533-position model. The record is from RNAcentral.